AUGAGUGCAACCACUUUCCGAUAUCUUAUAUCCUUGGCAGUGCAAAAUCGUCUAUCUAUGCAGUUGAUGGACGUCGUGACCGCAUACCUCUACGGGUCACUAGAUUCGGACAUAUAUAUGAAGGUUCCUGAUGGAAUCUUUGUCCCGAAUAAAAAUGCAAAACGCAACAUGUAUUGUGUAAAGCUGAAUAAGUCAUUAUAUGGCUUAAGGCAGUCGGGACGGAUGUGGUACAACCAACUCAGUGAGUUCCUUCUUCAGAAAGGUUACUCCAAUAGUACUGAUUGCCCAUGUGUUUUCAUCAAGAAGUCCUCUACAGGAUUUUGCAUCAUUUCUGUGUAUGUUGACGAUCUCAACAUCAUCGGCAGCACACCAGACAUUGAUGAAGCACGCAAUCACCUAAAGAUGGAAUUUGAGAUGAAGGAUUUGGGUAAAACCAAAUUUUGCUUAGGUAUUCAACUUGAGCAUCUUCCCUCAGGAAUCAUGGUACACCAAUCUACCUAUAUCCAGAAAAUAUUGGAGAAAUUCAAUAUGGACAAAUCCUAUCCAUCUAAAACUCCCAUGGUGGUUCGAUCUCUAGACAUAGAGAAAGAUCCGUUUAGACCAAGGGAUGAUGGAGAAGAGGUGUUGGGACCUGAAGUUCCAUACCUUAGUGCUGUUGGAGCGCUUAUGUAUCUUGCAAAUUGCACAAGACCUGAUAUUGCAUUUGCAGUGAAUCUACUUGCUAGACAUAGCACAGCUCCCACCAAACGUCAUUGGUCUGGAGUGAAGAAUAUCUUUCGAUAUCUCCAAGGCACAAAGGAUCUUGGCCUAUUUUUCCAGUCCCAGAAAAAUCCGGACUCUGAUAUGAUUGGAUAUGCAGAUGCCGGUUAUUUGUCUGAUCCCCAUAAUGCCAGAUCUCAGACCGGCUUCAUGUUCCUACAUGGUGGCACUGCUAUAUCAUGGAAGUCUUCGAAACAGACUCUGGUGGCAACAUCUACCAAUCAUUCUGAAAUAAUUUCAUUAUUUGAAGCAACAUGCGAAUGUGUAUGGCUUCGCAGAAUGAUAAACCACAUACAACAGUCAUGUGGAAUGGGCUCGAUAAAAUCACCUACCAUUAUCUAUGAAGAUAAUGCGGCCUGUGUUGCACAGAUGCAAACAGGAUACAUCAAGAGUAAUAUCACCAAGCAUAUUUCUCCUAAAUGGUUUUUCCCCCAUAAUCUUCAGAAAAGCGGGGAAAUAAGCAUUCUGCAAGUCAAAUCAUGCGACAACCUUGCUGAUUUAUUUACCAAGUCUCUACCACAUUCUACAUUCCAGAAAUGUGUUCAUGGAAUUGGUAUGCGAAGACUUAGGGACUUGCAGGUGUCAGGGGGAGUCUCUUCUUGA
RNAcentral lists this ribosomal RNA (1362 nucleotides) under Triticum aestivum (bread wheat). RNAcentral describes it as "partial small subunit ribosomal RNA". The record is from RNAcentral. Lineage: Eukaryota; Viridiplantae; Streptophyta; Magnoliopsida; Poales; Poaceae.